Molecule: long non-coding RNA, 725 nt
Organism: Xenopus tropicalis (tropical clawed frog)
Lineage: Eukaryota; Metazoa; Chordata; Amphibia; Anura; Pipidae
Exons: 2
Source: RefSeq, a predicted model, not a curated record
GAGCUGUGAUAGCUGAAGUAUUGCUUUACAUGGAUACCACAUUAAAAUGCUUUAUUGACUAAAUUGUGUUUUGUUGGAUGUGGCAAAAGGGCAACUGGAGUUCCUCACAUGCCUGGAAAGUACAAGUUGAAUAGAACUCUUUUACUAAAGGUCAUAGGACUCUUCACAACCAUAAGGAGCCUCCAGGAUAGAACUAUACUUAUUAACACAGUAUUGUGCUACUUUACCAAUGACUUACAAAGGAGGAACAAGGAAGAAGACACCUGGAAGACUUCUCUUUUAAAAAGUGAACUACUGUAUGUCUUUAACAUGCAGAAUGCAAAGUCUUCAUUUUGCACACAGGAACAAUGGUAAAACUCUGAUUAUGGAAAAAAGAAAAAGGAAUCAAUGCCAGAAAACAUAAGUGAGAUGCUCAGUUGGCAAUUAAUAUGCCCCUAAGUGUUAAAGGGAAAGGUUACUCAUAAAUGCUGAGGGCCCUGUUUCGCCAAGCACAUGGGUGGCCCCAUCGGGCACAGAUCCACUUAUUUAGUGACCUCUCCAGACAAACAGAUCUCAAUGUUUAUUGUGUAAUGUGUGUUCUCAUAAAUAGAACAGUGGUAAGUAAUACUUCGUGGAACUUUCUCUGUUCUACAAUAUUUAAUUACUGUCAGGCACAGAGCAUUUCAUGUAUUUUAUAGACCUAAAUUACAUUUCAGACAAAUCAUUUUAAAUUCUGUUUUUCUCUU